This is a non-coding RNA of Pelobates cultripes (western spadefoot toad), 311 nucleotides long. NCBI's taxonomy places the organism in Eukaryota, Metazoa, Chordata, Amphibia, Anura, Pelobatidae. The record is from the annotation of a GenBank genome assembly.
AGCGAUCGCGUUCUGGUUUAAGCUUCGGGGCUGGGAGGACCACACAAAGCACUUUGUCAUCCGUUAAGCCCUGAAGGGUUUUCGGAGGGGGCGCAAGGUCCCUGACUCACUCAACAUACUCGGGGGACUGGUGCGCAGCCUGCCGGGGCUUUGCUUCAACGGGUAUGAGGUGGGCUUGUUUGAAGUGGCAUUCCUCUUGGCCUUCUUCGGGGCGUUUCGUAUCGGGGAACUAGUAAGCCCAAAUCGGGCCGGGGGCAGGGGCGUCCAGCUCUCUGAGGUUAGGUGGGCAGCAGACAAGGUGGUGGUACAUC